Molecule: ribosomal RNA, 458 nt
Filed under: uncultured bacterium
Lineage: Bacteria
Description: bacterial SSU rRNA
Rfam family: Bacterial small subunit ribosomal RNA
Source: RNAcentral
UGGCUCAGAAUCAACGCUGGCGGCGCGCUUAACACAUGCAAGUCGAACGAGAAAGGGGAGCAAUCCCUGAGUAAAGUGGCGUACGGGUGAGUAACACGUGGGUAAUCUACCUCUUAGUGGGGGAUAUCCCUGGGAAACCGGGGUUAAUACCGCAUAAGCUCUUGAGAGGAAACGGGAAACCGGCUGAGAGAGGAGCCCGCGGCCGAUUAGCUAGUUGGUAGGGUAAAGGCCUACCAAGGCCAAGAUCGGUAGCCGGCCUGAGAGGGCACACGGCCACACUGGCACUGAAACACGGGCCAGACUCCUACGGGAGGCAGCAGUGGGGAAUCUUGCACAAUGGGGGAAACCCUGAUGCAGCGACGCCGCGUGAGCGAUGAAGCCUUCGGGGUGUAAAGAUCUUUCGACGGGAACGUAUAAUGACGGUACCGGAGAAAAAGCUGCGGCUAAACUUACUGUGC